This 77-nucleotide transfer RNA is filed under the name Acidobacteriota bacterium. Its description in RNAcentral is "Acidobacteria bacterium (groundwater metagenome) tRNA-Trp". It matches the Rfam family "tRNA". Rfam says of the family: Transfer RNA (tRNA) molecules are approximately 80 nucleotides in length. Their secondary structure includes four short double-helical elements and three loops (D, anti-codon, and T loops). The record is from RNAcentral. RNAcentral also lists the same sequence under 1 other name. Lineage: Bacteria; Pseudomonadati; Acidobacteriota.
AGGUGAGUAGCUCAAUUGGUUAGAGCAGCGGUCUCCAAAACCGCAGGCUGCGGGUUCGAGUCCUGCCUCACCUGCCA